GACGAACGCUGGCGGCGUGCCUAAUACAUGCAAGUAGAACGCUGAAGAGAGGAGCUUGCUCUUCUUGGAUGAGUUGCGAACGGGUGAGUAACGCGUAGGUAACCUGCCUUGUAGCGGGGGAUAACUAUUAGAAACGAUAGCUAAUACCGCAUAACAAUGGAUGACACAUGUCAUUUAUUUGAAAGGGGCAAUUGCUCCACUACAAGAUGGACCUGCGUUGUAUUAGCUAGUAGGUGAGGUAAUGGCUCACCUAGGCGACGAUACAUAGCCGACCUGAGAGGGUGAUCGGCCACACUGGGACUGAGACACGGCCCAGACUCCUACGGGAGGCAGCAGUAGGGAAUCUUCGGCAAUGGGGGCAACCCUGACCGAGCAACGCCGCGUGAGUGAAGAAGGUUUUCGGAUCGUAAAGCUCUGUUGUAAGUCAAGAACGGGUGUGAGAGUGGAAAGUUCACACUGUGACGGUAGCUUACCAGAAAGGGACGGCUAACUACGU
RNAcentral lists this ribosomal RNA (496 nucleotides) under uncultured bacterium. RNAcentral describes it as "partial 16S ribosomal RNA". It matches the Rfam family "Bacterial small subunit ribosomal RNA", at positions 28 to 506 of the family's 1533-position model. The record is from RNAcentral.